ACACACACACACACACACACACACGCACACGCACACACACACGCACACACACACGCACACACACACGCACACACACACACACACACACACACACACACACACACACGCCUGCGUUCCCCCCACCGCAGCCCGGCUGGAGGCCUCCGAGGCGGGAGGAGCGCGAUGAUGGAUGUGUUAUAUCAACUUCUUCCAGACAGCCGGUCUGCGAAGUGGACAGAGGGACACGGAGGGGGCCGGCGGUCAACACAGGCUUUAGCCCCAAUUUGUGUGUGUUUGCAAGAGAGAGAGAGAGAGAGAGAGAGUGCGUACACCUCGGCCACUCUCCUCUUCCUGUCUCUGACCGAGGACUCGGGGCCUCCUUCUCCCUUCCCAUCUGCCCCGGCACCACCUCUUUGUCCCCCAGCUUGCUGCACUGACAGGUGGAGUUGCCGCGGUGAUGGAUGACUAUGCGCCCGGUUUCGGAGUCAGAGUCCUACACCUCUGCUACCUGCCAUGCGGGUCCCUGUCAAAGACUUCCUGUCAGGGGCGAGUGACGCCGUCUCCGCCUCGUCUUUGACUGGCAGAAUAAACACAGUCGCCGCAAAACAGCGGCGCUGGGAGGGAGCAGCUACAAGCAGCCGCGGAGACCGCAGCCAAAGGAGCCCUGACCAGGAAAUGCAGCUGGAGAGGAAGACGGAAACAAAGCGGAGAAGGAAGGAACGACUAGAGAAGAAGAUGCAGAGGCCUGUGUGUGUGUGUGUGUGUGUGUGUGUGUGUGUGUGUGUGUGUGUGUGUGUGUGUGUGUGUGUGUGUGUGUGUGCACCAGUAGCGCGUGCGGUCAUCCAGAACUCCUGUCUGUCACAAUCACAUGCUCCCCAUUAUAUGACAAACCAGUUGACAUCCCAUUUCCUCACGCACACACACACACACACACAUGCACAGAGGCAUGAUGGGAGAUGGAUAACACACAGUGCCAUUGAAACGUGGCCCUGUCUCCAUCCCCAUAGGAGAGACUGUUUGUUUGCUGUAAUGGCUCACACGGCUGACUGACACUUUCCUCCAUGCCGACCCAGCAGCCAAUCUAUUAAAAUUGUGCGGUGACAUUGUUGAUUAGGCAGACACUGAGUGUACUGCGUGCGCUUUGUUAUACAUUAAUGGGUUUAUUGGUGCAGGGAAAUGCUGCGCGGUGCGUUUGUGCGAACGCAUGACUGUACGUUUCGCCUCCUCUUUGUGUGCGCGCGAGAUCAAGGGCGUGCGAAUCAAAUGGAACCGUUUCAUUCUGAACCACAGCUUUGCACAACACAAAGACCAACACGUGGGACUGAGGAGAUAGUUGCAGUCAAGUGCUGCCAUCUAGUGUCAGAUCAGGCAAAAACAGCCCUGUCUCACACACACAUCCCUCUGGAGGUGAUAAUCUGUCUGAAAAUAGUCACAUUUAGAGGAAAAUUCAAAGUAGCCAUAUUGAUUUUUGAAUAACUAUUAAAUGGACACAGCGGGAUCGCUCAUAAUCCAGAUGACAUAAAUUCAUUAUCCGCCCAUUGUUCCCGUGUCUCACCCUCACUCUCAGUCUCUUAGUCUACUGCAGAUCAAUAGCUUUGUUUGUUCCAGCAACACUUCUCUGUGUUUUCUCUUGUUCCUCUCCGCAGGAAGCGAAUUGGACGUCCUAUUUGCGCCGCGGUUAUGCUGUGAUUCAGAAAAAAGCCAAAUUAAAUUGCCUAAUUGGUUUCCUUGGGAAGGGUAAAACAGAUUUAAAUUGAUUACCGGUAAUGGCCUUUUGUGGAACCGCAUUGGCUUCUGCUGUUUGAGGGGGAUUUAGCAAAACCAAUUAAUUUGCCUCACCUCUUAUGCGCCCUCCUCCUGUCUCCAUUUGUCUCUGUCUCUCUGGCGUCCGCUUUUCCCACCGUCUAAUGUCCUCGUUCAUACUCCCAAAACCAAGAGGGAUGAUGAUGACGAUGACGUCACUGGAUAACAAUCAUUCAGGCAUAAUUGGCUGAAAACUGUCACACUGCAGCGCUGAUAAAAAAGCAUGAUGUGUUUUUUUUUUUCUCUCCUCCUACAUCGACUGUUAUGAGACUUGCCUGACAAAAGGUAAUUUAAAUUUCUCUGUCAAUUACUGCGGCGGCGCCGGUUUGCCUCCACCUGGCAGCAGCUCUCUCUGCUCCUGCAGCUGAGAAAGGAAAAAGUAAGAUGUCAAGGUCACAUUUUGUCACACAAGCUGAUUAAAUCCUUAAUGCGCUGCCCCCCCCCCCCCCCCCCCCC
Molecule: long non-coding RNA, 2238 nt
Organism: Betta splendens (Siamese fighting fish)
Lineage: Eukaryota; Metazoa; Chordata; Actinopteri; Anabantiformes; Osphronemidae
Exons: 3
Source: RefSeq, a predicted model, not a curated record